RNAcentral lists this ribosomal RNA (326 nucleotides) under uncultured Erythrobacter sp. RNAcentral describes it as "bacterial SSU rRNA". It matches the Rfam family "Bacterial small subunit ribosomal RNA", at positions 568 to 898 of the family's 1533-position model. Lineage: Bacteria; Pseudomonadati; Pseudomonadota; Alphaproteobacteria; Sphingomonadales; Erythrobacteraceae. The record is from RNAcentral.
UGCGCAGGCGGGCUGGUAAGUCAGUAGUGAAAUCUCGGCGCUCAACGCCGAAACGUCUUUUGAUACUACCAGUCUUGAAUAAGCGAGAGAUCCGUGGAAUUCCGAGUGUAGCAGUGAAAUGUGUAGAUAUUCGGAAGAACACCAGAGGCGAAGGCAGCGGGUUGGCGCUUUAUUGACGCUCAGGCACGAAAGCAUGGGGAUCAAACAGGAUUAGAUACCCUGGUAGUCCAUGCCCUAAACGAUGAUCACUUGAUGUCGGCCGCAAGGUCGGUGUCGGAGCUAACGCGUUAAGUGAUCCACCUGGGGAGUACGCUCGCAAGGGUGAA